Molecule: ribosomal RNA, 443 nt
Filed under: uncultured bacterium
Lineage: Bacteria
Description: partial 16S ribosomal RNA
Rfam family: Bacterial small subunit ribosomal RNA
Source: RNAcentral
CCUACGGAGAGCAGCAGUGGGGAAUAUUGGGCAAUGGAGGAAACUCUGACCCAGCAACGCCGCGUGAAUGAUGAAGGUCUUCGGAUUGUAAAGUUCUUUUCUAAGGGAAGAAGGAAGUGACGGUACCUUAGUAAUAAGCCUCGGCUAACUACGUGCCAGCAGCCGCGGUAAUACGUAGGAGGCGAGCGUUAUCCGGAAUGACUGGGCGUAAAGGGGGCGUAGGUGGUUUGGCAAGUUAGUAGCGUAACUCCAAGGCUCAACCUUGGAACUACUACUAAAACUGUUGGACUUGAGUGCAGGAGGGGCAACCGGAAUUCCUAGUGGAGCGGUGGAAUGCGUAGAUAUUAGGAGGAACACCAGUGGCGAAGGCGGGUUGCUAGACUGUAACUGACACUGAGGCACGAAAGCGUGGGGAGCAAACAGGAUUAGAUACCCCUGUAGUC